GGGGCUCAACCCUGGGGCUGCUUCCGAAACUGCAGGUCUUGGGACUGGUAAAGGCUGGUAGAAUUCCCGGUGUAGCGGUGGAAUGCGUAAAGAUCGGGAAGAAUACCCUUGGCGAAGGCGGCCAUCUGGGCCAGGUCCGACACUGAGGCGCGAAAGCGUGGGGAGCAAACAGGAUUAAAUACCCUGGUAGUCCACGCCGUAAACGAUGGGCACUAGGCGCUGGUGGGAGCGACCCCUUCAUUGCCGCAUCUAACGCGAUAAGUGCCCCGCCUGGGGAGUACGGCCGCAAGGCUGAAACUCAAAGGAAUUGACGGGGGCCCGCACAAGCGGUGGAGCAUGUGGUUUAAUUCGAAGCAACGCAAAGAACCUUACCCGUGUUUGACAUGCACGGGAAACCCUCUAGAUACAGGGGGCCUCCUUCAGGACCCAUGGACAGGUGCUGCAUGGCUGUCUUCAGCUCGUGUCGUGAGAUGUUGGGUUAAGU
This 484-nucleotide ribosomal RNA is filed under the name uncultured bacterium. Its description in RNAcentral is "bacterial SSU rRNA". It matches the Rfam family "Bacterial small subunit ribosomal RNA", at positions 604 to 1085 of the family's 1533-position model. The record is from RNAcentral.